UGCGUAGGCGGAUUUAUAAGUCAGUGGUGAAAUCUCAUAGCUUAACUAUGAAACUGCCAUUGAUACUGCAGGUCUUGAGUAAGGUAGAAGUAGCUGGAAUAAGUAGUGUAGCGGUGAAAUGCAUAGAUAUUACUUAGAACACCAAUUGCGAAGGCAGGUUACUAUGUCUUAACUGACGCUGAUGGACGAAAGCGUGGGGAGCGAACAGGAUUAGAUACCCUGGUAGUCC
RNAcentral lists this ribosomal RNA (229 nucleotides) under uncultured bacterium. RNAcentral's name for it is "partial 16S ribosomal RNA". It matches the Rfam family "Bacterial small subunit ribosomal RNA", at positions 568 to 796 of the family's 1533-position model. The record is from RNAcentral.